GACGAACGCUGGCGGCGUGCUUAACACAUGCAAGUCGAACGGAAAGGCCCUGCUUUUGUGGGGUGCUCGAGUGGCGAACGGGUGAGUAACACGUGAGUAACCUGCCCUUGACUUUGGGAUAACUUCAGGAAACUGGGGCUAAUACCGGAUAGGAGCUCCUGCUGCAUGGUGGGGGUUGGAAAGUUUCGGCGGUUGGGGAUGGACUCGCGGCUUAUCAGCUUGUUGGUGGGGUAGUGGCUUACCAAGGCUUUGACGGGUAGCCGGCCUGAGAGGGUGACCGGCCACAUUGGGACUGAGAUACGGCCCAGACUCCUACGGGAGGCAACAGAGGGAAUAUUGCACAAUGGGCGGAAGCCUGAUGCAGCAACGCCGCGUGCGGGAUGACGGCCUUCGGGUUGUAAACCGCUUUCGCCUGUGACGAAGCGUGAGUGACGGUAAUGGGUAAAGAAGCACCGGCUAACUACGUG
RNAcentral lists this ribosomal RNA (467 nucleotides) under uncultured bacterium. Its description in RNAcentral is "partial 16S ribosomal RNA". It matches the Rfam family "Bacterial small subunit ribosomal RNA", at positions 28 to 507 of the family's 1533-position model. The record is from RNAcentral.